This 440-nucleotide ribosomal RNA is filed under the name uncultured bacterium. RNAcentral describes it as "bacterial SSU rRNA". It matches the Rfam family "Bacterial small subunit ribosomal RNA", at positions 338 to 770 of the family's 1533-position model. The record is from RNAcentral.
CCUACGGGAGGCUGCAGUCGAGAAUCUUCCGCAAUGGGCGCAAGCCUGACGGAGCGACGCCGCGUGGAGGAUGAAGGCCUUCGGGUUGUAAACUCCUGUCACGAGUUAAGAAGAGGCUAUUACGAACAGUGGUAGUCUUUGACGUAAGCUCGAGAGGAAGCACUGGCUAACUCUGUGCCAGCAGCCGCGGUAAUACAGAGAGUGCGAACGUUGUUCGGAAUUACUGGGCUUGAAGCGCACGUAGGCGGCACCGUAAGUGUCGGGUGAAAUCCCACGGCUCACCCGUGGAACUGCCCGGCAUACUGCGGUGCUCGAGUGUGGUAGGGGAGAGCGGAACUCCUGGUGGAGCGGUGAAAUGCGUAGAUAUCAGGAGGAACACCGGUGGCGAAGGCGGCUCUCUGGUCCACAACUGACGCUGAGGUGCGAAAGCUAGGGGAGCA